GGAGGUUGAUUUCCUUUAUUUUUGCAACUAAGAGAUACAUUAGGUGAAUUACUGGAGUAGAGAUUCUUGGGAGACAGAAGUUACAAACUAUUUUUGUGGAAUUAAGGAUUUUAUUAUUAUUUUAUGGCAUUAAACUUGUAUUGGAGAAUUAUUUUGAGGAUAUUUUGUAUUUGGUGAAUUAGAGCUCUAACUUUUGAAAUCAGAUUCAAGGCUGCCUAGCUGGCACAACUACUGAAGCAAGCUUCCUCUGCGGCUCCACCUCUCUCAACUGCUCAAGCAAGCUUUCUCCACCUCUCUCAUUCUUUCUCUGAUUCUUUGCUCUCUGCCUCUCUCAACUGCUCAAGGUUUUGAGUUUUGAGGACUGAGGUAUCUAUAAUUUAUUUGGGCGCUUGGCUUUCUAUUGGGCCUGUUUUAUUUAUAUUGAGUUGAGUUAUGUGGUUGCCUGGACGUUUCGGUGUUUCAUGUUUGUUUGGGCCUUCAAUUUUUUUUUUUUUUUUAAUAAAGGCUGCGUUUUUUGUUUUUGGGUUAUAGAUAGGAUUUGUUUUGUGUUUUUUUGUGAGUGGUCUUAUUAAUAAGCCUUGUGUUAUGGUUGUGCUUAAAUUUUUUUUUUUAAAAAUUUAAUCUUGUGUUUUUAUAAAU
Molecule: long non-coding RNA, 639 nt
Organism: Quercus lobata
Lineage: Eukaryota; Viridiplantae; Streptophyta; Magnoliopsida; Fagales; Fagaceae
Exons: 3
Source: RefSeq, a predicted model, not a curated record